Molecule: unclassified non-coding RNA, 275 nt
Filed under: Entoloma watsonii
Lineage: Eukaryota; Fungi; Basidiomycota; Agaricomycetes; Agaricales; Entolomataceae
Description: partial contains 5.8S ribosomal RNA, internal transcribed spacer 2, and large subunit ribosomal RNA
Source: RNAcentral
CGCACCUUGCGCUCCUUGGUAUUCCGAGGAGCAUGCCUGUUUGAGUGUCAUGAAAUUCUCAACCUUUCUAACUUUUACAAGUGAGUCAGGCUUGGAUUGUGGGAGUUGCUGGCUUUUUCAGGUCGGCUCUCCUUAAAUGCAUUAGCAGAAUUAUUGCCGUGAUCAUCUUUGAUGUGAUAAUUAUCUACAUCAUUGAAGACUGGCUUGGAUUCAGCUUCCAACUCAUACUUGAUAUUUUUGACCUCAAAUCAGGUAGGACUACCCGCUGAACUUAA